AGUAACGCGUGGGUAACCUGCCUUAUACAGGGGGAUAACAGUCAGAAAUGGCUGCUAAUACCGCAUAAGCGCACAGAGCUGCAUGGCUCGGUGUGAAAAACUCCGGUGGUAUAAGAUGGACCCGCGUUGGAUUAGCUUGUUGGUGGGGUAACGGCCCACCAAGGCGACGAUCCAUAGCCGGCCUGAGAGGGUGAACGGCCACAUUGGGACUGAGACACGGCCCAGACUCCUACGGGAGGCAGCAGUGGGGAAUAUUGCACAAUGGGGGAAACCCUGAUGCAGCGACGCCGCGUGAAGGAAGAAGUAUCUCGGUAUGUAAACUUCUAUCAGCAGGGAAGAUAGUGACGGUACCUGACUAAGAAGCCCCGGCUAACUACGUGCCAGCAGCCGCGGUAAUACGUAGGGGGCAAGCGUUAUCCGGAUUUACUGGGUGUAAAGGGAGCGUAGACGGUGUGGCAAGUCUGAUGUGAAAGGCAUGGGCUCAACCUGUGGACUGCAUUGGAAACUGUCAUACUUGAGUGCCGGAGGGGUAAGCGGAAUUCCUAGUGUAGCGGUGAAAUGCGUAGAUAUUAGGAGGAACACCAGUGGCGAAGGCGGC
This 598-nucleotide ribosomal RNA is filed under the name uncultured Lachnospiraceae bacterium. RNAcentral describes it as "bacterial SSU rRNA". It matches the Rfam family "Bacterial small subunit ribosomal RNA", at positions 109 to 725 of the family's 1533-position model. The record is from RNAcentral. Lineage: Bacteria; Bacillati; Bacillota; Clostridia; Lachnospirales; Lachnospiraceae.